This 731-nucleotide ribosomal RNA is filed under the name Salmonella enterica subsp. enterica serovar Paratyphi B var. L(+) tartrate +. RNAcentral describes it as "partial 23S ribosomal RNA". It matches the Rfam family "Bacterial large subunit ribosomal RNA", at positions 2211 to 2925 of the family's 2925-position model. The record is from RNAcentral. Lineage: Bacteria; Pseudomonadati; Pseudomonadota; Gammaproteobacteria; Enterobacterales; Enterobacteriaceae.
UGUUUGAUGUUCUAACGUGGACCCGUAAUCCGGGUUGCGGACAGUGUCUGGUGGGUAGUUUGACUGGGGCGGUCUCCUCCUAAAGAGUAACGGAGGAGCACGAAGGUUGGCUAAUCCUGGUCGGACAUCAGGAGGUUAGUGCAAUGGCAUAAGCCAGCUUGACUGCGAGCGUGACGGCGCGAGCAGGUGCGAAAGCAGGUCAUAGUGAUCCGGUGGUUCUGAAUGGAAGGGCCAUCGCUCAACGGAUAAAAGGUACUCCGGGGAUAACAGGCUGAUACCGCCCAAGAGUUCAUAUCGACGGCGGUGUUUGGCACCUCGAUGUCGGCUCAUCACAUCCUGGGGCUGAAGUAGGUCCCAAGGGUAUGGCUGUUCGCCAUUUAAAGUGGUACGCGAGCUGGGUUUAGAACGUCGUGAGACAGUUCGGUCCCUAUCUGCCGUGGGCGCUGGAGAACUGAGGGGGGCUGCUCCUAGUACGAGAGGACCGGAGUGGACGCAUCACUGGUGUUCGGGUUGUCAUGCCAAUGGCACUGCCCGGUAGCUAAAUGCGGAAGAGAUAAGUGCUGAAAGCAUCUAAGCACGAAACUUGCCCCGAGAUGAGUUCUCCCUGAGACUUAGAGUCUCCUGAAGGAACGUUGAAGACGACGACGUUGAUAGGCCGGGUGUGUAAGCGCAGCGAUGCGUUGAGCUAACCGGUACUAAUGAACCGUGAGGCUUAACCUUACAACGCCGAA